GUGCCAGCCGCCGCGGUAAUACCGGCAGCCCGAGUGAUGGCCGAUAUUAUUGGGCCUAAAGCGUCCGUAGCUGGCCGAACAAGUCCGUCGGGAAAUCCACCCGCACAAAGGGUGGGCGUCCGGUAGAAACUGGCCGGCUUGGAACCGGAAGGCUCAGAGAGUACGUCCGGGGUAGGAGUGAAAUCCCGUAAUCCCGGACGGACUACCGAUGGCGAAAGCACUCUGAGAAGACGGCUUCGACAGUGAGGGACGAAAGCUCGGGUCUCAAACCGGAUUAGAAACCCCGGUAGUCC
This 293-nucleotide ribosomal RNA is filed under the name uncultured bacterium. RNAcentral describes it as "partial 16S ribosomal RNA". It matches the Rfam family "Archaeal small subunit ribosomal RNA", at positions 455 to 747 of the family's 1478-position model. The record is from RNAcentral.